UACAGAGGGUGCAAGCGUUGUUCGGAUUUACUGGGCGUAAAGCGUAUGCAGACGGUUUGGUAGGUCGGAUGUGAAAGCCCCGGGCUCAACCCGGGAAUUGCAUCCGAAACCACCUCACUCGAGUGUGGGAGAGGGAAGCGGAAUUCCUGGUGGAGCGGUGAAAUGCGCAGAUAUCAGGAGGAACACCCGUGGCGAAGGCGGCACUCUGGGCCGAUACUGACACUGAGGAGCGAAAGCGUGGGGAGCGAACAGG
This 253-nucleotide ribosomal RNA is filed under the name uncultured bacterium. RNAcentral describes it as "partial 16S ribosomal RNA". It matches the Rfam family "Bacterial small subunit ribosomal RNA", at positions 524 to 776 of the family's 1533-position model. The record is from RNAcentral.